RNAcentral lists this long non-coding RNA (467 nucleotides) under Pandoravirus salinus. Its description in RNAcentral is "putative ncRNA". The record is from RNAcentral.
AGAAAGGCCGCUGCUCCUUCCGGUUGCACAGCGAUCGCCGACAUCGGCCAAAAGAGGGAGCGCGCGCACCUCCAAAAAAAAAAGAGACAAAGUGUGCGCGGGCAGUGCUCGCUUGGGGCUAGUGGGCCAUUUUUUUUUCAUGCUGUGCCCUCAUGACGAAGCACGUGCGGGUCCGAACCCGCCAGCAUCGAGCGAGUCCCAGUUGGUCGACCAUUGGUCAAACAAGAACGACCCGGCAAGCCGAACCCGACCGACUGGAAUCCACAAACAUGACUCAACAAAAGUCCCAAUUAACCGACCAUCAGCCGAUCGAAAAUGAACUAGCCGGCCAGUCGAAUAUGACCAGUUGACAUCCGCAAGCACCGUGCGCGGACCGAGACAAUGGCAAGGAAUCGCAUUUUUUAUUCUUUUUGUUUUCAGAAAAAAAUGCAUAGGACAUAAUAAAGGGAAAAAAAAGACGAAAAGAG